AUCUUCCGCAAUGGGCGAAAGCCUGACGGAGCGACGCCGCGUGGGGGAGGACGCCCUUCGGGGUGUAAACCCCUUUUCCCGGGGAAGAGGAGGACGGUACCCGGGGAAGAAGGCCCGGCAAACUACGUGCCAGCAGCCGCGGUAACACGUAGGGGCCGAGCGUUGUCCGGAGUUACUGGGCGUAAAGGGCGCGCAGGCGGCGGCGUGGGCCCGGCGUGAAAGCCCCCGGCUCAACCGGGGAGGGUCGUCGGGGACCGCGUCGCUUGAGGGCGGUAGGGGCCGGUGGAAUCCCCGGUGUAGUGGUGAAAUGCGUAGAGAUCGGGGGGAACACCCGUGGCGAAGGCGGCCGGCUGGGCCGACCCUGACGCUGAGGCGCGAAGGCGUGGGGAGCGAACGGG
This 398-nucleotide ribosomal RNA is filed under the name uncultured bacterium. Its description in RNAcentral is "bacterial SSU rRNA". It matches the Rfam family "Bacterial small subunit ribosomal RNA", at positions 361 to 776 of the family's 1533-position model. The record is from RNAcentral.